RNAcentral lists this long non-coding RNA (241 nucleotides) under Capsicum annuum. Its description in RNAcentral is "long non-coding RNA (CANN_LNC015240)". Lineage: Eukaryota; Viridiplantae; Streptophyta; Magnoliopsida; Solanales; Solanaceae. The record is from RNAcentral.
UUCUCAUUUAUCAAAUCAUAAUCAAUUUAUGGAUUCCUAACUUGACUCAAAUCAAAUCAAUCUUUCUCAAUAUCAAAAUGUAUCAAUUCAUUAAAUCAUGACAACAUCAAUAACUUUGAGGAAAUAUCAAGACUCAUUGUAACAACUCAAUCUCAUGAAUCAAUAUACUCAAUAAUCCAGUUUGUCAUAAGGAAGCUUAAAGCUUGACACAUAUCUUGAAAGCACUUGAAAUAUCAACUCA